Ribosomal RNA from Pteropus vampyrus (large flying fox), 119 nucleotides. The record is from Ensembl. Lineage: Eukaryota; Metazoa; Chordata; Mammalia; Chiroptera; Pteropodidae.
GUCCAGGGUCAUGCUACCCUGAACGUGCCCAAUCUCAUCUGAUCUCGGAAGCUAAGCAAGGUUGGGCCUGGUUAGUACUUGGACAGAAGACCACCUAGGAAUACCAGGUGCUGUAGGCA